RNAcentral lists this ribosomal RNA (509 nucleotides) under uncultured bacterium. RNAcentral's name for it is "partial 16S ribosomal RNA". It matches the Rfam family "Bacterial small subunit ribosomal RNA", at positions 355 to 855 of the family's 1533-position model. The record is from RNAcentral.
UAGGGAAUCUUCCACAAUGGACGCAAGUCUGAUGGAGCAACGCCGCGUGAGUGAAGAAGGUCUUCGGAUCGUAAAGCUCUGUUGUUGGUGAAGAAGGAUAGAGGCAGUAACUGGUCUUUAUUUGACGGUAAUCAACCAGAAAGUCACGGCUAACUACGUGCCAGCAGCCGCGGUAAUACGUAGGUGGCAAGCGUUGUCCGGAUUUAUUGGGCGUAAAGCGAGCGCAGGCGGAAUGAUAAGUCUGAUGUGAAAGCCCACGGCUCAACCGUGGAACUGCAUCGGAAACUGUCAUUCUUGAGUGCAGAAGAGGAGAGUGGAACUCCAUGUGUAGCGGUGGAAUGCGUAGAUAUAUGGAAGAACACCAGUGGCGAAGGCGGCUCUCUGGUCUGCAACUGACGCUGAGGCUCGAAAGCAUGGGUAGCGAACAGGAUUAGAUACCCUGGUAGUCCAUGCCGUAAACGAUGAGCGCUAGGUGUUGGGGACUUUCCGGUCCUCAGUGCCGCAGCAAA